AUUGAACGCUGGCGGCAGGCCUAACACAUGCAAGUCGAGCGGAUGAGAGGAGCUUGCUCCUCGAUUCAGCGGCGGACGGGUGAGUGAUGCCUAGGAAUCUGCCCAGUAGUGGGGGACAACGUUUCGAAAGGAACGCUAAUACCGCAUACGUUCUACGGGAGAAAGUGGGGGAUCUUCGGACCUCACGCUAUUGGAUGAUCCUAGGUCGGAUUAGCUGGUUGGUAGGGUAAAGGCCAACCAAGGAGACGAUCCGUAACUGGUCUGAGAGGAUGAUCAGUCACACUGGAACUGAGACACGGUCCAGACUCCUACGGGAGGCAGCAGUGGGGAAUAUUGGACAAUGGGCGCAAGCCUGAUCCAGCCAUGCCGCGUGUGUGAAGAAGGCCCUCGGGUCGUAAAGCACUUUAAGUUGGGAGGAAGGGCUUACAGCGAAUACCUGUGAGUUUUGACGUUACCGACAGAAUAAGCACCGGCUAACUUCGUGCCAGCAGCCGCCGUAA
This 500-nucleotide ribosomal RNA is filed under the name uncultured bacterium. RNAcentral's name for it is "partial 16S ribosomal RNA". It matches the Rfam family "Bacterial small subunit ribosomal RNA", at positions 30 to 523 of the family's 1533-position model. The record is from RNAcentral.